GACAGAGGGUGCAACCGUUGUUCGGAAUUACUGGGCGUAAAGCGCGUGUAGGCUGCUUGGAAAGUCGGAUGUGAAAGCCCUGGGCUCAACCUAGGAGGUGCAUUCGGAACUUCCAAGCUGGAGUGCUGGAGAGGAAGGCGGAAUUCUCGGUGUAGAGGUGAAAUUCGUAGAUAUCGAGAGGAACACCGGUGGCGAAGGCGGCCUUCUGGACAGUAACUGACGCUGAGACGCGAAAGCGUGGGGAGCAAACAGG
This 253-nucleotide ribosomal RNA is filed under the name uncultured bacterium. Its description in RNAcentral is "partial 16S ribosomal RNA". It matches the Rfam family "Bacterial small subunit ribosomal RNA", at positions 524 to 776 of the family's 1533-position model. The record is from RNAcentral.